Metarhizium acridum CQMa 102 is the source of this 82-nucleotide non-coding RNA. The record is from the annotation of a RefSeq genome assembly. Lineage: Eukaryota; Fungi; Ascomycota; Sordariomycetes; Hypocreales; Clavicipitaceae.
GGUGAGAUGGCCGAGUUGGUUAUGGCGUCAGGUUAAGGUCCUGAUGGAGCAAUCCUCCUGGGUUCGAGUCCCAGUCUCAUCA